UCUAUUUGCUUUUGUUUAUUUUUUUAGAUUAAAACUCCAUGAUACAAGGGAAAAACAAAGAAGUAAAUAAAAAGACUAACUAAAUUCACACUAAAAGCUGGCCAGGCCUCGAUGAAGUACGGCCUAGCUUCGAUAGCGGCAAGGGCAGAAUCGGGAAAGCUGCGUGACACGGUUGUUUUAAACAUAUUCCAACCUCCAUUUUGCACACAUCCAAGGUCAAAACUCCUCCCCUUCUCUGUCUAGGCUUCUCUUCUCUCUAGAUUUCCACCCCCUUGAGUUACCCAACAACCCUUGCAAUUUUUUCCCUUGAAACCCUUUCCCUCCUUUACACUUUGAACCUAACAAAAAUCAAUUUGGUGGAGUUUUGGGGUUUCUCUUGUUUUCCCUCACAUUUGGCCACACUUUCCUUUUUUCCCCCUUUGACUUUCCAUAACCUCUUUACUUUCUCUCUCAUAGGGUUUGAAUUUUGAGAUUUUCACCAAUUUUCACUCAUCCCUUCACUUUUUCUUCUCCUUUUUCACUUUCUCUCUAUGGCUAGUGAUGAGGUUCCCAUCCCGGACCCUGCCAUUAGUAUUGGCACUAUCUUAGGUGUAGAUAUAGAGGCCGAGGACGUUCCCACGUUGCCUCCGCUCAUUGAUAGGCCAUUUGAUGCGGCCACUUACUGACCACGUACAAUUGCUCCAUCCGCAGGCGGUAUUUUGAGAUUUGAGGGCCUCAUCCCAGGGAUAGAUGAGGACAUCCUACUGCGAGAGCCCGUGCAGCACUUGUCCGCCGAUGUCUCCACGAUAAGUAACUUUUCCUUCGUCUUGUACAUAUGUUGAAUCUCAUAAACAAACCACUCGUUAGUGCUAUUUACAUAUUGAUAAUACUCCCAAUUUACAAGUGCUAGCUAGGAGGGUUGGCGGCUAUGGAUCCAUAUCAGGUCCCCGGCACUGGUAUGAGAGGCUUCCCCACAGAGGUCCGUACACUAGUUGAUGUUGCCGGCUUUGGGCCCUUCUGUUUAGGGCUCAUAUAGAUGAGGGCUGAGUCGCUAUUAUACGGGGCCCUACUAGAGAGAUAGUGGGACACUAUGGACUCGUUCCACUUCUCAUCGAUUGGGGAGCUAACUCUGACCCCAUACGAUUUCGCGAUGCUCACUGGCCUACGGGUUGGGGUUAGCGGCCCCAUCCCAUGUGAUCUUGAUAUGACAUAGUGGAGAGCCAUACAACAUUAGCUUCUCGGAGCCAUCCCAGACACUACCAACCACGGGAUGGUGAGGUACAGUUGGUUUUUGGAGCGCUUCACUGACCUUCGGCCAGCUACUCCAGAUGACGUCGCCUAGUACACCUGUGGCUUCUUUAUGUAUCUCCUUGGCACUACCCUGUUUUCCAACAAAGAAAACAUCGUGGGAUUAUAUCUUCUGGGGGCACUGGUGCACCUACUACAGGUGAUAGAGUAUGACUGGGGUGGCAUCGGCUUGGCUAUCUCGUACUGCUACAUAAGCUUCACAUCCCGCCGCAAGGCAGAUUCACUUGGUUGCUAUUAGAUGGUGCGGGAGCUAUGUGUUUACACAUAUUUCACCUCUCUGGCUUCGGUUCCAGUGAGGCCGAUUGAGUUGUCAGUACCCCGCUCCUGGUACUAUAACUCCCGAUUUGAGCGAUACCGCCACGUAGACCGAGACUUCCCUUACUUUCGCCGUUUCUUCGACACGGCGGAUUAGGUUGACUGGCACCCUUGGGCGAGUAUCCCUCAGGCAAUGAGGGCAACCUAUGUUACCGCAUGGCAUGCCUCUACUAUGAUGAUUUUGUUCGAGGGUCCCUUUGGUAGGGCAUAUUACUUGGGAGAGAGGUUCAUCUGGCAGAUGUGAGGCGUUGUUGAGCCUGACAUUCUACAUCCUCCUCCUUUAGGCAUGAAGGGAGUUGAUGAGCUUCACGAUGGUCAUCAGAUUGACUUCCUGAUGUUGAGAGAGGAUGGUGACUGACAUCAUGAGCCCAACGACUUCACCACUUUCUCGUAGACUUGGGUAUGACACCUCUUAUCCUGGGUAUGGUCCACGCUAUUCCAGAGAUUGCUACUGCUGCUACUGUCGCCAGAGGAGUUCCUACUAUAGCUCCCAUUCUUGGGCUUCCGGUGAUUCCUACGAAGGUCGUAUACAUGCAGCCAGACAGGGAGAUUGAGCAGAUCCCUCUUGAACAAAUUGAGGAGAGGGAUCGCAGAUUGGUGAUUGCUCUCGGCAUUGAGCAGGUACACAUUUCUUUAUAUUUCUAGCCACUACCCUACUCUACGUCUUCAUUGUACUCUGUUGCUUUGUUCCACUGUGUUAAACUCUCCAUUGUUUUGCAAGUACCCACGACAUAUGCUGAUGACCUUCUCUAGACGAUUGACCAAUUGCUCCUCAUGGUGCGGAGGAGGCAGACAGCUCUGGCCAUUUACAGGAUUGAGUUGCACCUAUAGGACCUCCUCCUACUAGGAGACGAAGACGGGGCCCAGUGAGGGGCAGAGGAGGAGCUGACCAGGGGAGAGGCAGAGUGAGGCAUCACUCACCUCCCGAGGAGUCCUUUGAGGAGUACACGACUUCUGAGGAUGAGGGCGAGGCGAUUGACAUGCAGUCUAGUAGCUCCAGUGAUGACAACGACGCACCUCCUCCACAGCCGAGGAGGAAGAGAGCGAGGAUGGGUUGCUGAUGAUGAUGAUGAUUUCUUGUUUUUGUUUUUGCUUUGUAGUUAAAGACUAGCUUCAGAUAGACCCUUUUGUUGUUGAAGAAUUUUCUUUUGUUUUGUUGCUUUGCAAAACAAUGAUCGGGGUUAGACCUGUUAGUUUGUAAAAGAAAUUUUUUUGACUAAUCUCCUUGCAUAAUAUGUGAUGAAUGGCAUGUAAUGAAUGGCGUAACCUUUGCAUGGUAACUUCGCAUAAGACUUAAAUCAAUGAAUAUUUACCCUUGUAUUCAUUCUUGAAUCGGAUAACAACCCACAACCGGACAAAACGUAAAAUACAACUUGAUAACAGAAUGAAAACAACUCAAAAAUACUAAAAAACAUCUGGUACAAACAAAAAGGACUUAAAACACAACUGCGGUAUGCCAAGACAAAGACCAACUUUUUUGAAAUUGCACUGAUCUGGAGGCACGACUGGGCCUAAACAUGA
Molecule: long non-coding RNA, 3123 nt
Organism: Camellia sinensis
Lineage: Eukaryota; Viridiplantae; Streptophyta; Magnoliopsida; Ericales; Theaceae
Source: RefSeq, a predicted model, not a curated record